UUCCGGCGACGCACCGGUCACUCACCGUCAAUCAUCCGUUUACUCCACUCAUCACAGUACAAGUUUCGUUCUUCAUAAUUGCGAUUUUUCAAACUUGUUUAACUCUUCAAUUCGAAUGAUUUUAUCAUCAAUUGUCACACCCACUUCGCCUCUCUUCCUUCAUCAAUCGCCCCUCAAAUUCUCAUUCUUAAGGAAUAUACAAGAUGGAAACAAAUGAUAUUCCAAAGAAUGAAGAACUGUGAAGAAUGAAACAGUAUGCUCAAAAUGUGACAACUUUAAGACUAACAAUGACAAACUCUUGAAGGAU
This 307-nucleotide long non-coding RNA is filed under the name Helianthus annuus (common sunflower). RNAcentral's name for it is "sRNA HanXRQr2_Chr14g0625301". Lineage: Eukaryota; Viridiplantae; Streptophyta; Magnoliopsida; Asterales; Asteraceae. The record is from RNAcentral.